GAUGAACGCUGGCGGCGUGCCUAAUACAUGCAAGUCGAACGCUUUGUCUUUAAUUGAUAUGAAGAGCUUGCUCUGAUUUGAUUUUAUCUGACAAAAAGUGGCGAACGGGUGAGUAACACGUGGGUAACCUACCUCUUAGCAGGGGAUAACAUUUGGAAACAAGUGCUAAUACCGUAUAACACUAACAACCGCAUGGUUGUUAGUUGAAAGAUGGUUCUGCUAUCACUAAGAGAUGGACCCGCGGUGCAUUAGCUAGUUGGUAAGGUAAUGGCUUACCAAGGCGAUGAUGCGUAGCCGAGUUGAGAGACUGAUCGGCCACAAUGGGACUGGGACACGGCCCAUACUCCUACGGGAGGCAGCAGUAGGGAAUCUUCCACAAUGGGCGCAAGCCUGAUGGAGCAACGCCGCGUGUGUGAUGAAGGGUUUCGGCUCGUAAAACACUGUUAUAAGAGAAGAACGACAUUGAGAGUAACUGUUCAGUGUGUGACGGUUUCUUAUCAGAAAGGAACGGCUAAAUACGUG
RNAcentral lists this ribosomal RNA (522 nucleotides) under uncultured bacterium. RNAcentral describes it as "partial 16S ribosomal RNA". It matches the Rfam family "Bacterial small subunit ribosomal RNA", at positions 28 to 507 of the family's 1533-position model. The record is from RNAcentral.